CGUAGGUUUUAAAACUUUCCAGAUCUUUCUAGAAAUUUCUAGAUCAUUCCAGAAAUUUCUAGAACAAUCCAGACUAUUUCAGACCAAUGAUAGUCUCACAUUUUUAAAGUUAACAUCUUUCAACCCGUGUAUUUUUUACACCCUUAUAAUUAUCGACUUGCAGCCACCAUAGUGCACGAUGGGAACCUUAUUCGCUCUGUGCGCGACUUCAGCGCCAUGGCACGUUUGAACUACAGGGGGCUAUUGUAAUAUAUUUAUUAUAUAUUGAAUGGCUGUCAGAAAUAAUAAUAUCGAAUGAUAAAUAAAAAAAUGUUUUUUUAAUUAAAGGAAAUAUUUAUAAUAAAUAUUUGUUAAUGUAAAGUGUUCUUGUGCAUUAAAAAGUGAAAUAUUUGGAUUUAAAAUGGAAACCAUAAUAAAAACGGGAUUUCAAUCAAUAACCCACGAAAUUCAGUUCCAGCCACAGACAUUGGUAAAA
Cotesia glomerata is the source of this 475-nucleotide long non-coding RNA. RefSeq lists it as uncharacterized. The transcript is spliced from 2 exons. The record is from RefSeq and is a predicted model, not a curated record. NCBI's taxonomy places the organism in Eukaryota, Metazoa, Arthropoda, Insecta, Hymenoptera, Braconidae.